UUCCUCCUCUAGAUCUUUUCUUACUUUAGAGUGUCCAAGUUGUUUGAAGAAGAAGGAAGAAACUAGCUGUUAAAGUUGCUUGCAGGCUAGCACCUCCAAGCCCCUGAUCUACGCCAGUCUUCACAUGAAUUUUUUUAUAGAGGUCAGAUGACUUUGUAUGGCUAUGAGCAAUAUGAGGAACACCCUCUCCUAGUGUUGGAUCAGAGAAGA
RNAcentral lists this long non-coding RNA (210 nucleotides) under Elaeis guineensis (African oil palm). RNAcentral's name for it is "long non-coding RNA (EGUI_LNC021672)". Lineage: Eukaryota; Viridiplantae; Streptophyta; Magnoliopsida; Arecales; Arecaceae. The record is from RNAcentral.